This is a long non-coding RNA of Choloepus didactylus (southern two-toed sloth), 540 nucleotides long. RefSeq lists it as uncharacterized. NCBI's taxonomy places the organism in Eukaryota, Metazoa, Chordata, Mammalia, Pilosa, Megalonychidae. The record is from RefSeq and is a predicted model, not a curated record. The transcript has 2 exons.
CUCCCCAUUGUGGGACAUGUGAUAGUGAUACGAUAGGAUAUGAUAUGAAGUGAUAUGGGUCACUUCCAACAUGUCUAUGGGCCUCGCUUUAGGGAAGCGGCACAUCACUGGGCUCUAAAUGAGCAGGGUCUAGGCUUGCACACUUGGACCUUGCACUUUCUCUGAAGAGCCAAUAAGUAAGUACGUGAUACUUUGAAAAUCAUAGAAUUAUGGUAGAGAGUGGCUGUUUACCAGACUCAUUUCCUUUUCUUCCUAGGCAUGGAGUGAGACUACCUUACCCACCUGUCUUGCAGUGAAUAGUGCAGACUAGCAUGGUGGCCUUGGAAGCCACAUGCUGAAAAUGUGAAGCCGCAAGAUGGAAGGAGCCUGGAUCUGGAAAACCCAAUCAACUAAAAACACUGUCUUGGACAUUGUGUAAAUCCAAAUACAAAAACUUCUAUUUUGUUCUAUUCAUUAUAUAUAUUCUGUUACAGCAACUAUUAUUACCUUCAAUUUCUAGGGAAUUAAUAAAUCAGAACCAAUUCUUUGCUUAAAAAAGGA